This 899-nucleotide ribosomal RNA is filed under the name uncultured bacterium. RNAcentral's name for it is "bacterial SSU rRNA". It matches the Rfam family "Bacterial small subunit ribosomal RNA", at positions 1 to 832 of the family's 1533-position model. The record is from RNAcentral.
UCGAGCCGAUGUAGCAUGUAUUCGCGUCGGAUCGUACUUGACUCGCGACCUUUGAUCCUGGUUCAGGACGAACGCUGGCGGCGUGCUUAACACAUGCAAGUCGGACGAGACGAUUGAAAGCUUGCUUUUGAAAGUCGAGGUGGCAAACGGGUGAGUAACGCGUAGACAACCUGCCGUAAAGAUGGGGACAACAGUCCGAAAGGACUGCUAAUACCGAAUGUUGUGGAACUUCCGCAUGGAAGCUUCACUAAAGAUGGCCUCUACUUGUAAGCUAUCGCUUUACGAUGGGUCUGCGUCUGAUUAGCUAGUUGGUGGGGUAACGGCCUACCAAGGCGACGGUCAGUAGCCGGUCUGAGAGGAUGAACGGCCACAUUGGAACUGAGACACGGUCCAGACUCCUACGGGAGGCAGCAGUGGGGAAUCUUCCGCAAUGGGCGCAAGCCUGACGGAGCAACGCCGCGUGAGUGAAGAAGGGUUUCGACUCGUAAAGCUCUGUUGUCGGGGACGAACGUGGAGAUGGUGAAUAACCAUUUCCAAUGACGGUACCUGACGAGGAAGCCACGGCUAACUACGUGCCAGCAGCCGCGGUAAUACGUAGGUGGCGAGCGUUGUCCGGAAUUAUUGGGCGUAAAGGGAGCGCAGGCGGGAGAUCAAGUCUAUCUUAAAAGUGCGGGGCUCAACCCCGUGAGGGGAUGGAAACUGGUCUUCUUGAGUGCAGGAGAGGAAAGCGGAAUUCCUAGUGUAGCGGUGAAAUGCGUAGAUAUUAGGAGGAACACCAGUGGCGAAGGCGGCUUUCUGGACUGUAACUGACGCUGAGGCUCGAAAGCGUGGGGAGCGAACAGGAUUAGAUACCCUGGUAGUCCACGCCGUAAACGAUGAAUGCUAGGUGUAGGAGGUAU